GCCCUGAAUGGUAAAGAGGGCACACUCUCGCCAAAGGGGCGAGGGCCAGAGCAUGGUCGGGCUCCGGCAAAUUAUUAACAUGGAUGCAGAGACCACAUCCGGC
RNAcentral lists this non-coding RNA (103 nucleotides) under uncultured Prevotella sp. RNAcentral describes it as "engA RNA". It matches the Rfam family "engA RNA". Lineage: Bacteria; Pseudomonadati; Bacteroidota; Bacteroidia; Bacteroidales; Prevotellaceae. The record is from RNAcentral.